This 989-nucleotide long non-coding RNA is filed under the name Homo sapiens (human). RNAcentral describes it as "HSALNT0396582". The record is from RNAcentral. Lineage: Eukaryota; Metazoa; Chordata; Mammalia; Primates; Hominidae.
GUUACAGAUGUCCAGACUCCAAAUGCCAGUUCCUUCUGGGUGUUCAGCCACUGUGUUAAUCCUCUGUGGGGACCUGCUACUCGCUGCUCUGGUGAGGUGUUCCGCCAGGGCAAUUUCCUACCUGGGAGCACUCUUUGGAUCAUGUAACUCAGGCUGGCUGGAGUCCCCCGCAGAGAUGCUCCACAGGGCAGGCUUAAGCCACCUGAGGGGCUGCCUCAGCUGCCCAUCAGUUACCUCAUUUCCCAGUCAGAGAACCAAGAAAUGUAGCAGGACAAUCCGCAGAAAAAAACCUCUCAGACACUGAGUUGUAGAAGGAAGGGCUUUAUUCAGCUGGGAGCAUCAGCAAGCUACUGCUUUAAAAUCCGAGCUCUCCAAAUGCACGAUUUCUGUCCUUUUUAAAGGCUCACAACGCUAAAGAUUUCACAUGAAAGGGUCAGAUUGAUUUGAACAAGCAAGGGGUAUGUGACAGGGGCUGCAUGCACCAGUGGUCAGGGAGGAACAGAACAGGGCGGGGAGUUUCACAGUGUUCUUCUAUACAAUGUCUGGAAUCUAUGAAUAACAUUGAUUUUUAAGUUAUGAGUUGAUUUUUAACUACUAGGUUUAGGCCAGGCAGGCCCAGGGCUGGUUUUGGGCCUGGCGCCAGGCUGCCUGUCUUUGAUUUCACUUCCUUGUUUUUUUCUUAAAACAGGUACUGAGUAUAAAACAAUAAAACAAUAUGAGAGGGUCUCUCUCUUCCCUCACCAGAGGGGGCCAAAGUUUUAUGAGACAUCUCCUCAUCUGUGCACAGAUGGGUGGCGGACUCUGGAGUCCAGGCUGUUGCUUCCCAUUCUAGUGGUGAAUCUUCCAUAGUCUGGUAUUGUUGUCUCUAACCCAGACCUGAUCACCUGGCUACAGCAAGGAAAAGAAACUUUGACCAUGAAGAGACAGGUGAUGAUUGCCAAACACACAGAUGGACUCACAGCCUGUCACCCAGGCUGGAGUGCAGUGCU